Momordica charantia (bitter melon) is the source of this 3770-nucleotide RNA transcript. RefSeq lists it as uncharacterized. Lineage: Eukaryota; Viridiplantae; Streptophyta; Magnoliopsida; Cucurbitales; Cucurbitaceae. The record is from RefSeq and is a predicted model, not a curated record.
CAUAAAACUUAAAUAAAAUUUUAAAACUAUCUCUUCUUUUAUUAAUUUUGAAAAAUAAUAAUAUUCAUAAAAACAUCUAGUGGAGUGGGGUCAAGCUAAGAUAUUUGUAUCAUUUAAAACUCUCCUCAUAUUUAUCUACCACCUAACGGCUAACAGCCAUUAAAUGAUAACUUCCAAACAAAAUUCGACCCUAGAAGCUGCUGCCUUAUCCGAUUAUUCGGUACGCUUAUGCUUGCAAGAAAACUGAUAGAUUAGGUACUGUUAGUUACAAAUCCGGCAUUUCCCAGAAGGAUGAGGCACGAUUGCUGCAAUAUCAAGAGGAUUCUGUGUAUACUUCUAUAUGAUAUCUUUUUGAUGUCCAUGAGCUCGGCGUUUAGGAAUAUUCCCACUUUAGGAGAUGAAUCAGAUCGCUUAGCUCUACUUGACUUGAAAGGUAGAAUACUGAACGACCCACUUCGAAUCAUGAGCUCUUGGAAUGAUUCCUUGCAUUUCUGUGAUUGGAUUGGUGUUACUUGCAAUACUACUAUUGGAAGAGUGCUGGUUUUGAAUUUGGAAGCUCGGAAACUGACUGGUUCAAUAGCGUCUUCGUUGGGAAACCUUACUCAUCUCACUGAAAUCAGAUUAGGAGACAACAACUUUCAUGGCCGAAUUCCCCAAGAGUUGGGUCAGUUACUCCUUUUACGUCAUCUCAAUUUAUCCUUCAAUAACUUUGAUGGUGAGAUUCCAGCGAAUAUAAGUCAUUGCACUAAGCUUGUUGUUCUGGAGUUAAGUAUCAAUGGACUUAUAGGACAGAUUCCCUACCAGUUCCUUUCGUUAACCAAGUUGGAACGACUUGGUUUUGGCGGUAACAAUCUGACUGGAACUAUCCCACCUUGGAUAGGAAAUUUUUCUUCCAUAUCUCAUUUGUCAUUCGCGCUGAACACUUUUCAAGGGAACAUUCCCAGUGAACUAGGUCACCUAUCUAAAUUGGAAUUCUUCACAGUUUAUGGGAACUAUUUGAUAGGUACAGUACCGCCUUCAAUCUAUAAUAUAACUUCUCUUACUUAUUUUUCUCUUACUCAAAAUCGAUUACAAGGAACUCUACCACCAAAUGUUGGAUUUAUUCUUCCCAAUCUUCGAGUCUUUGCUGGUGGUGUCAAUAAUUUUAGAGGGCCUAUUCCAACGUCCUUGGCGAACAUCUCCAAUCUUCAAGUUUUAGAUUUUGCUGAGAACAGUCUCACUGGAAUGCUACCUGAUGACUUGGGGAUCUUAACAGACUUGGUGAGACUCAAUUUUGACGACAACCAACUUGGAAGUGGGAAAAUUAGUGACUUGAAUUUAAUAAGGUCCUUGGCUAAUUGUACUAGUCUAAGGGUUUUGGGCCUUGCUAGGAAUCGCCUGGGAGGAACAUUGCCUCCAUCUAUUGGAAACCUUACCAACCAGCUGACAAUUCUAACCUUAGGCAGUAAUAUGUUAAGUGGAAGCAUUCCUGCCGGGAUUGAAAACUUGAUUAACUUGCAAGUUCUUGGACUGGAAUAUAAUUAUGUGAAUGGUAAUGUCCCUCCCAAUAUUGGGAAGCUUCAGAACUUGGUUUUUCUUCAUUUGAAUGGUAACGACUUAACUGGGCUAAUUCCAUCCUCCAUUGGUAACUUAUCUUCAUUGACUAAACUCUUCAUGGAGGAUAACAAACUUGAGGGAAGUAUACCACCAAGCUUAGGCGGAUGCAAAAGCCUCCAAGCUCUUGACCUUUCUGGUAACUACCUAAGCGGCACCAUACCUAAGGAAGUUCUCGGUCUCUCUUCCCUUUCAAUUUAUUUAGCCUUGAAUCAUAACUCACUUACUGGUCCAUUGGCAUCCGAAGUGGGCAAGUUAGUUAGUUUAACACUAUUAGAUGUAUCAGAGAACAAAUUGUCAGGUGAUAUUCCUAGCAACCUCGGUAAGUGUAUUAGCAUGGAACAAUUGUAUAUGGGGGGUAACCAAUUUGAGGGAACAAUUCCUCGAUCUUUGGAAGCUUUGAGAGGUCUAGAAGAACUAAAUCUCUCAAGUAACAACUUGUCUGGACCAAUUCCUCAAUUUCUUAGCAAGCUUCUUUUGCUCAAGCAUCUUAAUCUAUCCUAUAAUAAUUUGGAGGGGGAAGUGCCCAAAGAAGGGAUUUUUUCUAAUUCUACCUUGAUUUCUCUAAUUGGAAAUAAUAAUCUAUGUGAUGGUCUGCAAGAAUUGCAUUUACCUCCGUGCACACAUAAUAGAACACAUUCCUACAAGUUUCUAGCACCAAAUGUGUUAACCCCUGUGGUAUCCACGCUCACAUUUCUAAUAAUUCUUUUGAGCAUCCUUUUUCUGUUUGUUAUGCUGAAGAAGUCGAGGAAGAAUGCUUUAUCUUCAUCUUCCUCCAAGGAUUUACCAUCACAGAUUUCUUACCUAGAACUCAAUAAAUCAACUAAUGGGUUCUCUGUGGAGAAUUUGAUUGGUUCAGGAAGUUUUGGUUCUGUGUAUAAAGGUGUUCUUUCGAAUGAUGGAUUAGUUGUUGCCAUUAAGGUUCUAAACCUUCAACAACAAGGUGCUUCUAAGAGUUUUGUCGAUGAAUGCAAAGCUCUAACAAGCAUAAGACAUCGGAAUCUCCUCAAGAUUGCAACCUCUUGCUCAAGUACAGACAAAGAAGGCAAUGAAUUCAAAGCUCUAGUCUUCGAUUUCAUGUCCAACGGAAACUUAGACGGUUGGCUUCACCCUACACAUCUUGGAAAAAAUCAAAGAAGAUUGAGCCUUAUACAGAGAUUGAACAUUGCCAUUGAUAUUGCCAAUGCAAUGGAUUAUCUCCAUAAUUAUUGUGAAACACCCAUUGUCCACUGUGAUCUCAAGCCUGGCAACGUAUUGCUUGAUGAUGAUAUGGUGGCCCAUGUUGGAGACUUCGGAUUAGCUAGAUUCAUCUUGGAAGGAUCAAAUGAAUCCUCCUUCGGACAAACCAUGUCACUUGCACUCAAGGGUUCUAUAGGAUACAUCCCCCCAGAGUAUGGCACUGGUGGCAAAAUUUCCAUUGAAGGAGAUAUCUUCAGCUAUGGAAUUCUACUACUAGAAAUGAUCACUGGAAAAAGACCCACUGAUGAAGUUUUUGGUGAUGGUGUGGAUAUUCAUUUAUACAUUGCAAUGGCAUUGCCCCAACAUGCCUUAGACAUAAUUGACCCUUCUUUGCUAUUUGAAGAAACACGCCAACAAGAGAAAGAGAAUGAAGACAAAAUACAAGAAAUAGCGAUAAUGGGUGAGGAAGAUGGUAGAGAAAUUGAGCAAAGAAGUAUGGAAGAAUGUGUAAUUUCUGUAAUGAAAAUUGGCCUAUCAUGCUCCUCAACAACACCUAGAGAGAGGAUGCCCAUGAAGAUUGUGGUGAACAAAUUGCAGGCAUGUAGAAGCUCCUAUCUAUCUCAAGUUUAAGAAGAAGAAGACAAGCUAAUAGUGUAAGAAGAUUAAAGAAAUUGAAGUUGCAGGUACUGCUUACCGUUGUGGUUACAUCAUAUAAUGAUAUGUUCGGUGCCCACAUAUUUUUGGAAAAGUCAAAGUAAGGUACGUUGUUUCAUCUGCAAAAAAAAUCAGUUUGUUCAAGCAAUAAGGUGGGAAGAAUACUGUAAUAAAUAAAUUCUCUUCAUACAUCUCUUCAUUUUUUUAGUACAAUAAAUGUAGGGUUAGUAGAUUUGAACCUCUAGAUGUCUUUACCGUCUCAUGCUUGGAAUAUGUUAAUUUUCAUUUCAUAGGUUUUCUAUUUUGUGAAGCUUACAUUAUAUUAUGAAAUAUUUUAAUGAUGA